Long non-coding RNA from Podarcis muralis (Common wall lizard), 2895 nucleotides. The record is from Ensembl. Lineage: Eukaryota; Metazoa; Chordata; Lepidosauria; Squamata; Lacertidae.
AGAGUAUCAAAUGCAACACUUGUCUCAUGAAGAGUCCCGAUGCCGAGUGCAUGACUGGGGUCGAAGGCUGCAUGUCUCAGGGAGAAAAAUGCAUGACCAUCCGCAUCAGCCAAGACGGAAAGGAGAAAUUCAGGAUUCUGGGCUGCACCAGACAGAAGAAAAAAGGCUGCGGCGUAAACAAGGAGUCGCACGGCCACCAGGUCAGCAUCCGAUGCUGCUCUUCGGACUACUGCAACGUCUAGCAAAGAGCUGGGAAUCCACCCCAGUCUCCAUAAUUCUCCUCUUCCCGCAUCUGCGCUCCGUUUUGUCUCCCCUCCUCGGGAGCCAAGCCAAGAUGUGAGAAAAAAGCGAGGAAUAGAAACUUACAGAUCUUUGCAAAACUCCCCUGGCUUCUCUGAGAUUUCCCUCAUAUUCCGGAAGAAGAAUGGCUUCUCUUCCUCAUCUCCACCCACAACCCACGUUUGCUUGCCUUCCCCCCCCCCUCUCCUCUCUGCGGGGCGUUUCUCACCCCUCUUGUCUUCCAGAAUAUUUCUGGGGUUGAGCAACAGAUUAUAUUUAGGAAACGUAAAUGACAGAAAUAAACGAUGGAAGCCUGCAAACAGCAAGAGUUGGGGCUUCCAACCCCCCCCCCCUUUGCAUAAUUUCAAAUGCAUGUGGUUGAAAAAUUGUGUGAUUUAAUUGUGUGAUUUUUCAAAUGAUAUUUCGCUGGAAUGGCUCAGUGAGGAAAGAAAAGUGAAAGAGACCAAAGAUAUUUGAAAAUGUGAUGCAAUGCGAAAUAUGAGUAUGUAAUUUAAUUAUUCUAACAAAUAAAGAAUUAUUAGCAAGUUGUUAUGAUUUUUAUAAAUGAGUUCCAAAUAUCAUUGUAUUUUACAAUCUGUGUCUAAAAGCAAUCCAUUCAUCUGUUGCAAGAGUUGUCCUACCCAUUGAUUAAAGGGGGUCAUAGUAUUAUCUGAAGGCAGCCCUGUUUAGGGAAGCUUUUAAUGUUUGAGGCAUUACUGUAUUUUAAUAUUUUGUUGGAAGCCGCCCAGAGUGUAUAAAUUAUUAUUAUUGUUAUUAUUAUUAUCAUUAUCAUCAUCUUUCCAAUGAAUCAGUAGCAGUCUUUUGGCAGAAGUUAGGGCACGGAGAACAAAUCCAUGUUGACCCACUGUCAAACCUCAUAUUGUUUGUGUAUGGUUCAAAAUAAUAUUAUCUGCCAGCCAAGUUAAUGGUCAUCGCUAAAUCUAGUGACAGCAAUUUUGAGAAAUUAGAGGACGUUGUGGUUAUUAUUUCACGCAUGAAUCAAUUCUUGUGAAGCAUCUCAAACAAAUUCACAACACAAUAAAUAAUAAUAAUUCCAUACAGUUGCAACCAACAUAUAGGUAGGGUUCAGCAUUAAUCUGUUAACAAACCUGACACAAGAUGCUGUAUUUGGUUUUCUGCAGAGUUGUUAAGAAACUCCUUUUCCCCUGCCCUCCCCCAAGCUAGUUUCCCAGAGUGGUUUAACAUACAAAUCCCUCUUCACAGGGAACUCUGGGAACUGUAGUUCUGUAGAGGCUCCCUACCAGCUCUCAGCCUCCUUAAUGAACUACAGCUCCCAUAAUUCUUUAGGAAAAGCCAGGAAUGUUUUUAAGGUAGUACGAUAUUGCUUCAAGUACAUGGUGUGUUCUUGAUUCUGUCAUAGAAAAGCAAAUCAAACUCUCUGUGGAAGCUGCUCCUUUCGAGGCCGGCAGAUGAAGCCAGGCUAGUUUUCCCUUUGCCGUAAUAAACUUUUGGGAGGCAGAGGUUGUAGCAUGUGAAGUGUGUGUGUGUGUGUUAUGCAUUUUGUGUUUUAUACUUUAAACUGCCCUGUUAUUAUUUCAGAUGUAGGGCCGUAUAUAAAAUUAAUAAUAUUAAUGAUUAUUUUAUUAUUAACCAAAUAGCAGCUGCAAGGAAGCCUGAUCAGCUUCCUUUUUUGCUUUCUGACGUUAGGCAGGAAGCAAGUUCUUUACAGUAAAUUCUUUGGGGGCUUAGGGCUGGGGCUGGGUUGGUCUUCCCCCUACACUUGCCAGGUUGUUCUUCCUGGGAGCAGGACCGGAUUUAGGUUUGAUGAGGCCCUAAGCUACUGAAGGUAAUGGGGCCCUUUAUAUUUCGAGCUGUCCUUUGUCAACAACAAAUUGUUGCUGGUUUUUUGUGUUGAAUCUAUGCUAUAUGGUAAUUUAUGGGCCUAAUAGGGAUCUAAAGCCAUUUACCCAUGUUGCCAUGCAACCAGUCCGUGCAGAAUGUAGGCACCCUAUAUCUAGAAAUGAGCAAACCAGUGAUAUUUUAGGGAGCAGGCUAGCAGGCGGGGCCCAUUACUUACAUCAUAGGAGCCUACACAACACAAAACACUGUUGCUGUGUGUAGGUUUCAUUUGUUUUUUAUCUUAUAUUUUGGAAAUGUACAUCUUUUUUUCCCUUUAAAUUUUUUGGGGGCUUCCAAGAGAGUGGGCCCUAACCUAUAGCUUGUUUAGCUUAUACGUAAACUAAGCACUGCCUGGGAGGCAGGAAGCACAUCUUCCCCAGUGGCCCUCAGGUCCCCUAACAGAGGGUGCUUCUCCACUCUGUAUCACAACCUCCACACUCUUUCAAUGAUGGUGCCACAUAGCUGACUCUGCGUGCACCAAUUUACCAUGCAUUUUCCCUGAAAGAGCACCUGGUGGAAGAGAAUUUGCCUAGCCAACACCACCCCAACUGCCCUUCUACUUAUGAUUAGCUUACAAAGGGUUGCCUCAAAGAUUGCCGAGAUGUGUGCGCUAUUCGUGAUUAUCUGAAAUGUUUGUCCGAUGAUGACCGUGACCCAACAUUAACUGGAAGCUCCAUCUCCCAAAAGAGCCGGUGUCCAUAACUGCUCAUUUUUGCUGCGUCCUUAGUUGGGUUCUAGUGUGGUGAAGUCGUUUGC